Molecule: ribosomal RNA, 427 nt
Filed under: uncultured bacterium
Lineage: Bacteria
Description: partial 16S ribosomal RNA
Rfam family: Bacterial small subunit ribosomal RNA
Source: RNAcentral
UGGGGAAUAUUGGACAAUGGGCGAAAGCCUGAUCCAGCCAUGCCGCGUGUGUGAAGAAGGUCUUCGGAUUGUAAAGCACUUUAAGUUGGGAGGAAGGGCAUUAACCUAAUACGUUAGUGUUUUGACGUUACCGACAGAAUAAGCACCGGCUAACUCUGUGCCAGCAGCCGCGGUAAUACAGAGGGUGCAAGCGUUAAUCGGAAUUACUGGGCGUAAAGCGCGCGUAGGUGGAUUGUUAAGUUGGAUGUGAAAUCCCCGGGCUCAACCUGGGAACUGCAUUCAAAACUGACUGACUAGAGUAUGGUAGAGGGUGGUGGAAUUUCCUGUGUAGCGGUGAAAUGCGUAGAUAUAGGAAGGAACACCAGUGGCGAAGGCGACCACCUGGACUAAUACUGACACUGAGGUGCGAAAGCGUGGGGAGCAAACA